GCAGCGGGGACACAGGUGCAGUGGGGACACAGGUGCAGCGGGGACACAGGUGCAGUGGGGACACAGGUGCAGUGAGGCCACAGGUGCAGCGGGGACACAGGUGCAGCGGGGACACAGGUGCAGGUGCAGUGAGGACACAGGUGCAGCGGGGACACAGGUGCAGUGAGGACACAGGUGCAGCGGGGACACAGGUGCAGCGAGGCCACCUUCCUUGACGUUUUUUCCCCAUUAGUUCCCUUGAAAUUCUUGACCUAUUUUCUUCCGAGUGAAUUAACAUUUUUUCCAGCUCUGUGGAGUCAUUUCUUGGGCAUUUGAGUGGUUCGGCACUGAAUAAGGAGAUUGAUAAAAAUGACAAUUCUUCCUUAAUCAUAUUCCUUCGGCCUACCCACGAGCACUCGAUAUUCUUCCACUUGAUUAGAUCCGACUUUAUUUGUGUGGAAAGCCUUUUGUAGUUGUGUUCCGGUGCUUCCUGACUGUCUUGGCAGGGAGAUUCCGUAUUACCCACAGUCAUUUUGAGUGGAAUUUUUCUUGCCACGGGGCUGUCAGUAACAGAAAUGCUGGAGAUUUCUGUGGACUCUGUUUGCGUCCUGCCACCUCGCUGCUUUUCUAGGAGUUUCUUAGUCUCUGCCACCAUCUGCAAAGAGUGAUCAUCGGCUUCCCUCCUUUUCUUCUCUUAUUGCCAAAGUGCUCAUUUCUAACACAGUGUUGAAGCGGAGUGGGGAUGGGGACACCUUGUGGCCCCCAUGGCUUCCGACUUUCUCUGUUUCAUGGCACGCUGAUGGUUUUAGGUCCAUGCCGGGCUCUCGUAGUCUCUUCAGAACAGAAAUAGAUAAGAAUUGGGCAGAUGGAGCUUCCUGGGCCCACCCGUGCGAAAGGCUCACCGUUUGGGGUCCAAGUUCUUAGAGCGCGUGAGCCCCUCGGGAAGGUUCCCUGGACGGCUGCUACAUCCGGAACGGAAAUCUCUGGGGAAAACGCGGGAAGCUUGCUUGGAAUUGACAAAAGCCUCCAGGUCUGGAAGGGUACGAGUGCCCGAGGCUCUCAGUGGGGGGUCCGCCCUUAGCCAGCACCUGGAGGAAGCUGGGGGGCCCCGGGCCGGGACAGAACCUUUAGGGGUGAGCAGCGAGUCCGGUCACCUUGGAAAGCGUGGCCGCUCUUGGCCCGAGUCCUUGUCUAAAAUAUCCCCCUGACCUCCGACCCCUGCUCUCUCCACCGCAGCCUCUUUUUGGGACAGGGUUGGGCCAGCGCUGCUGGGGCUCCCUCGGAGACUCCCAGCCACGGGUGUAAAAGUGGAGUAAGCGGCGUCUCCUUGUGUCCUUCUGCCUGAAUCCCCACGUGGCAGUGACCCGAGUAAAAUCCUGGGUUGUCAGAGGCUGCAGAGGCCGUCGGGGCUUGUGGGAGGCCGAGAAAAUGAGCAUGUCCAUGGCCGCCAAGCGAGGGGGGAAGGGGAGGAGAUCCCUCUCUGGUGUCCCGGCAGGGUCGAGGGCUGGUGUGCGCCCCCGGGGGGCCGCUCCGAGAGAAACCUUUGGAAGGGGAAAGAGGAUGGUCACUGAGGAUGGCCAGAGAGGUCAUGGUGUUGGACCACAAUGGGGCCCAGUCAGCCUAAGGCUGGUGUCCCCAGUGCGGGGGGAGGGGGCGGGAGAAGGAUGACUGUGUGUGUG
Long non-coding RNA from Antechinus flavipes (yellow-footed antechinus), 1658 nucleotides. RefSeq lists it as uncharacterized. Lineage: Eukaryota; Metazoa; Chordata; Mammalia; Dasyuromorphia; Dasyuridae. The transcript is spliced from 4 exons. The record is from RefSeq and is a predicted model, not a curated record.